Non-coding RNA from Arachis ipaensis, 510 nucleotides. Lineage: Eukaryota; Viridiplantae; Streptophyta; Magnoliopsida; Fabales; Fabaceae. The record is from RefSeq and is a predicted model, not a curated record.
UCAUGUACAAUCAAUAAUAUUUAUACUCUUCCAUAAAUUUCUGAUGAUCAUUUAUACAAAAAAAAAGAGCACAUCUAAAGAACAAAAAAAAAUUCAGAAGAACUGUUCUAGUGUUCUUAUCUUUUCUGAGUUUUUUUACAUCUCUCUCAAAGAAUGUUUCUCUCUCAAUUGUCAGACUAAAACUCUCUCUUCUUUCUCACACUAGCCCACUACAGUCUCUUUCAGUCUCAUUCGAAUCUCGUCUCAGUCACACUCGCCGACGUCUCCACGUGUCGCGGCCUUCCCUGGGAUCCUCGUCGCCGGCGACAGAAGCAACUCGUCGGGUCGUCGUCGCUCGUCGUCUUCUGCUUUCGCGACCUCGCCGUCGCCGAGUCGCCGUAGACCGUAGUCAGUUGGUAUUUCUAGAAAUUCUUUGCACAAGAGGCGCACCACUGGUGGAAAGAAGAAGGUUUGUAGUUUGGAGGAAGAAGAGAAAGUAUGCUUUCACUCUCUUUUUCAAUUCUCUGUUUU